AGAGUUUGAUCCUGGCUCAGGAUGAACGCUAGCUACAGGCUUAACACAUGCAAGUCGAGGGGAAACGACAUCGAAAGCUUGCUUUUUGAUGGUCGUCGACCGGCGCACGGGUGAGUAACGCGUAUCCAACCUGCCCAUCACUUGGGGAUAACCUUGCGAAAGUAAGACUAAUACCCAAUGAUAUCUCUAGAAGACAUCUGAAAGAGAUUAAAGAUUUAUCGGUGAUGGAUGGGGAUGCGUCUGAUUAGCUUGUUGGCGGGGUAACGGCCCACCAAGGCAACGAUCAGUAGGGGUUCUGAGAGGAACGGUCCCCCACAUUGGAACUGAGACACGGUCCAAACUCCUACGGGAGGCAGUA
Molecule: ribosomal RNA, 358 nt
Filed under: uncultured bacterium
Lineage: Bacteria
Description: bacterial SSU rRNA
Rfam family: Bacterial small subunit ribosomal RNA
Source: RNAcentral